RNAcentral lists this ribosomal RNA (433 nucleotides) under uncultured bacterium. RNAcentral's name for it is "partial 16S ribosomal RNA". It matches the Rfam family "Bacterial small subunit ribosomal RNA", at positions 29 to 507 of the family's 1533-position model. The record is from RNAcentral.
AACGAACGCUGGCGGCAGGCCUAACACAUGCAAGUCGAGCGAGAUCUUCGGGUCUAGCGGCGGACGGGUGAGUAACGCGUGGGAAUAUGCCCUUCUCUGCGGAAUAGCCUCGGGAAACUGAGCGUAAUACCGCAUACGCCCUUUGGGGGAAAGAUUUAUCGGAGAAGGAUUAGCCCGCGUUGGAUUAGGUAGUUGGUGGGGUAACGGCCUACCAAGCCGACGAUCCAUAGCUGGUUUGAGAGGAUGAUCAGCCACACUGGGACUGAGACACGGCCCAGACUCCUACGGGAGGCAGCAGUGGGGAAUCUUAGACAAUGGGGGCAACCCUGAUCUAGCCAUGCCGCGUGAGUGAUGAAGGCCUUAGGGUUGUAAAGCUCUUUCAGCUGGGAAGAUAAUGACGAUACCAGCAGAAGAAGCCCCGGCUAACUCCGUG